GGCCUCGUGGUCUAGUGGUAUGAUUCUCGCUUCGGGUGCGAGAGGUCCCGGUCGAUUCCCGUGAGGCCC
Molecule: transfer RNA, 69 nt
Filed under: Phytophthora infestans (potato late blight agent)
Lineage: Eukaryota; Oomycota; Peronosporomycetes; Peronosporales; Peronosporaceae
Description: tRNA-Pro
Rfam family: tRNA
About the family: Transfer RNA (tRNA) molecules are approximately 80 nucleotides in length. Their secondary structure includes four short double-helical elements and three loops (D, anti-codon, and T loops).
Source: RNAcentral